This 160-nucleotide unclassified non-coding RNA is filed under the name fungal sp. RNAcentral's name for it is "partial internal transcribed spacer region". The stretch from base 1 to 46 matches the Rfam family "Eukaryotic small subunit ribosomal RNA", at positions 1786 to 1831 of the family's 1831-position model. The record is from RNAcentral. Lineage: Eukaryota; Fungi.
AAGUCGUAACAAGGUUUCCGUAGGUGAACCUGCGGAAGGAUCAUGUUCUACACGUAUACCUUUUACCCCCCUGAACUUUUCUACUAAUUUCUUUGUUUGAAAAAACAAAGGUAAGGUUACUUACUUUAUACAACUCUUAGCAACGGAUAUCUCGGUUCUC